CCUACCAAGGCGACGAUCGGUAACUGGUCUGAGAGGAUGAUCAGUCACACUGGAACUGAGACACGGUCCAGACUCCUACGGGAGGCAGCAGUGGGGAAUAUUGGACAAUGGGGGCAACCCUGAUCCAGCCAUGCCGCGUGUGUGAAGAAGGCCUUCGGGUUGUAAAGCACUUUAAGCGGGGAGGAAGGCCUGAUGGCUAAUAUCCAUCGGGAUUGACGUUACCCGCAGAAUAAGCACCGGCAAACUUCGUGCCAGCAGCCGCGGUAAUACGAAGGGUGCGAGCGUUAAUCGGAAUUACUGGGCGUAAAGCGCGCGUAGGUGGUUAAGUAAGCGAUCUGUGAAAGCCCCGGGCUUAACCUGGGAACUGCAGGUCGAACUGCUUGGCUAGAGUAUGGUAGAGGGGUGUGGAAUUUCCUGUGUAGCGGUGAAAUGCGUAGAUAUAGGAAGGAACAUCAGUGG
RNAcentral lists this ribosomal RNA (459 nucleotides) under uncultured bacterium. Its description in RNAcentral is "bacterial SSU rRNA". It matches the Rfam family "Bacterial small subunit ribosomal RNA", at positions 264 to 715 of the family's 1533-position model. The record is from RNAcentral.